AGAAAUUCGAUUCCGUAAGUAGCGGCGAGCGAACGCGGAUUAGCCCAAACCAAUAAAGUUUUCUUUAUUGGGGUUGCGGACAUAUCAUAACGAAGAGGUAUCGUAAUUGAAGAGGUUUGGAAAGACCCACCACAGAAGGUAAUAGUCCUGUAUGUUAAACGAGAAGACUUCAGAUAUGAUCCAGAGUACCACGGGACACGUGAAACCCUGUGGGAAGCAGGAGGGACCACCCUCCAAGGCUAAAUACUACCUAGUGACCGAUAGCGUAUAGUACCGUGAGGGAAAGGUGAAAAGAACCCCGGGAGGGGAGUGAAAUAGAACCUGAAACCCUGCACUUACAAGCUGUGGAAGCACAUUUCUUGUGUGACCGCGUACUUUUUGUAGAACGGGCCAACGAGUUACGUUAAGUAGCAAGGUUAAGCACUUAAGGUGCGGAGCCGUAGCGAAAGCGAGUUUUAACUGAGCGUUCAGUUACUUGACGUAGACCCGAAACCGGGCGAUCUACCCAUGAGCAGGAUGAAGCGAAAGUAAAAUUUCGUGGAGGUCCGAACCCACGAGCGUUGAAAAGCUCGGGGAUGACUUGUGGGUAGCGGUGAAAUUCCAAUCGAGCCCGGAGAUAGCUGGUUCUCCCCGAAAUAGCUUUAGGGCUAGCCUCAAGGUGAGAGAUACGGAGGUAGAGCACUGAAUGUCCUAGGGGGUAUUGCACCUACCGAAGACUAUCAAACUCCGAAUGCCGUCAUCUUAUACUUGGGAGUCAGACUGUGGGUGAUAAGAUUCAUAGUCGAAAGGGCAACAGCCCAGAUCGUCAGCUAAGGUCCCUAAAUGUAAGUUAAGUGGUAAAGGAUGUGGGCUUGCACAGACAACCAGGGUGCUUGCUUAGAAGCAGCAAUUCAGUUCAAGAGGGCGUAAUAGUGAACUGGUCGCGUGCUCCUGCGCCGAAGAUUUCCGGGGCUAAAACUUACUACCGAAGCUACGGCGUCAGUAAUGAUGGGUAGGGGAGCUUCCCAUA
RNAcentral lists this ribosomal RNA (1009 nucleotides) under Clostridioides difficile. RNAcentral's name for it is "bacterial LSU rRNA". It matches the Rfam family "Bacterial large subunit ribosomal RNA", at positions 224 to 1245 of the family's 2925-position model. Lineage: Bacteria; Bacillati; Bacillota; Clostridia; Peptostreptococcales; Peptostreptococcaceae. The record is from RNAcentral.